UUGGAGGGCAAGUCUGGUGCCAGCAGCCGCGGUAAUUCCAGCUCCAAUAGCGUAUAUUAAAGUUGUUGCAGUUAAAAAGCUCGUAGUUGAAUUUCGGGAUCAAUGUUUCGGUCAUGCCGUUGGUAUGUACUGAUAUUAUUGAUUUCACACCUUCUAAAGAACCGUAAUGCCAUUAAUUUGGUGUCACGGGGAAUUAGGACUGUUACCUUGAAAAAAUUAGAGUGUUUAAAGCAGGCUCACGCUUGAAUACAUUAGCAUGGAAUAAUGAAAUAGGACAUCCGAUUCUAUUUUGUUGGUUUCUAGGAUCGAUGUAAUGAUUAAUAGGGAUAGUUGGGGGCAUUAGUAUUCAAUUGUCAGAGGUGAAAUUCUUGGAUUUAUUGAAGACUAACUACUGCGAAAGCAUUUGCCAAGGAUGUUUUCAUUAAUCAAGAACGAAAGUUAGGGGAUCGAAAACGAUCAGAUACCGUCGUAGUCUUAACCAUAAACUAUGCCGACUAGGGAUCGGAUGAUGUUAAUUUUUUAAUGACUCAUUCGGCGCCUUACGGGAAACCAAAGUGUUUGGGUUC
This 566-nucleotide ribosomal RNA is filed under the name uncultured Glomeromycotina. Its description in RNAcentral is "SSU rRNA". It matches the Rfam family "Eukaryotic small subunit ribosomal RNA", at positions 548 to 1114 of the family's 1831-position model. The record is from RNAcentral. Lineage: Eukaryota; Fungi; Glomeromycota.